UUAUGGCUCAGGAUGAACGCUAGCGAUAGGCCUAACACAUGCAAGUCGAGGGGCAGCAUAGAGUAGCAAUACUUGAUGGCGACCGGCGCACGGGUGAGUAACACGUAUGCAACCUACCUACAUCAGGGGAAUAACCCGGAGAAAUUCGGACUAAUACCGCAUAAUACAGGGAUGCCGCAUGGCAAUAUUUGUUAAAGAUUUAUCGGAUGUAGAUGGGCAUGCGUUCCAUUAGCUAGUUGGUAAGGUAACGGCUUACCAAGGCAACGAUGGAUAGGGGAACUGAGAGGUUUGUCCCCCACACUGGAACUGAGACACGGACCAGACUCCUACGGGAGGCAGCAGUGAGGAAUAUUGGUCAAUGGACGAGAGUCUGAACCAGCCAAAUCGCGUGAAAAGGAAGACUGCCCUACGGGUUGUAAACUUCUUUUGUACAGGAAUAAAAGACAUUACGUGUAAUGUAUUGCAUGUACUGUACGAAUAAGCAUCGGCUAACUCCGUGCCAGCCGCCGC
This 510-nucleotide ribosomal RNA is filed under the name uncultured bacterium. Its description in RNAcentral is "bacterial SSU rRNA". It matches the Rfam family "Bacterial small subunit ribosomal RNA", at positions 17 to 518 of the family's 1533-position model. The record is from RNAcentral.